This 8926-nucleotide long non-coding RNA is filed under the name Citrus x clementina. RNAcentral describes it as "Citrus clementina (C. clementina) long non-coding RNA (CCLE_LNC005479)". The record is from RNAcentral. Lineage: Eukaryota; Viridiplantae; Streptophyta; Magnoliopsida; Sapindales; Rutaceae.
GGACUUUUACAACAAGAGAUUAUCGUCAAUCUCUUAACCCAAGUGUAUCCCAACGCUUACAACCUCUCAAGGAUAAAUAUUACAAAUGAAUUUUCUCUCACACGAUGUGUUUGAUUGCAAAUGAAUUCUCAAUAUGUGAAUCAAAGAAAUAAAAACAAGUUCAAAGCUCAAUAAUAAUUUUAUGCUCAAUGAUAACUCUUGGAUCUCUCUUUGUUUGAAUUGGAUUGAGCUUAUUUAUAGUUGGAGUUGAAAACUAGUCAUUAUUGACUUUCUGCACACUGUCGGAUCGCCGUUAACUAGAUGUCGGAUCGCCAUUUUGACUGGUCAAUAUGACUGUUGGGCUGAUUUUUCAAAUUGUCGGAUCACCGUUUAGGUCCAGAGGCUAAUCUUCAGUUCUGUUAGAUAUCGGCGAGCCGUUUAUUACAAUUGUCGGAUCGCCGUUUAGGUCCAGAGGCUAAUCUUCAAUUCUGUUAGAUGUCGGCGAGCCGUUAUCAAGAUGUCGGAUCACCGUUUUCUACAGUAACUGCUACAGUGAAAUAUUUUUUAAAUUUAUCGUUUGACCCCAAAACUUUAUAAAACUAUAUUACGACCCAAAAUGUUAUAAAAUUUUACAAAUAGGUCCAAUUUCAUAAUUUCUAAAUAAUGUUUUGUUAAUCCCAAAACUUUCUGAAAUUAUGGUAUAACCAAAAAUGCUAUGACACUUUUCAAAAUAAGUCCUUUUCUAAAAUUUCAAGCAAUACUUGUUUAUUUCAAAGUUUUCAAAAUUCUUUCAAUUAAACCAUAAACUUUGAAAAACAACCAAUUUCAUAAAAUCAUUUUUCCAUUAAAUAUGAAACAUUUAUAAUGUGAAAAUAAUGAUUUAUUUAAAAAGAAUAAAAACAAUCAAUUUCAUAAAAUCAUUUUUCCAUUAAAUAUAAAACCUUUAUAAUGUAAAAAUAAUGAUUUAUUUAAAAUGUAUAAAAAAUAAUUUGAGCUUAAAAGAUUUAUCAUUCUUAAUCUUGUUUGUUAUCAUCAAAAUCAACAUUAUAGAAACAUAUAUGUUAACAAUCUCCCCCUUUUUGAUGAUGACAAACAUUUCAUGUAUUUAAAGAAUGAUUCCACAAAUUGCUCCCCCUUCUUGUUUGUUAUCAUCAAAAUCAAUAUUAUGGAAACAUAUAUGUUAACAAUUUUCUCUAUUCAAAUAUAGACAAAAUAAGUUAUACUAAUAUACUGCAAUAUUAUAUUUGCAUUAGAAAUUAGAGCCAUAGAUUCGUUCACAUAUGUCAAUUCAUUCAUAAUUUUGUUCUAAAUGCAUUAAUAGAUUAUUUUAGAUUUCUCGAUACAUCAUUCAUGAUUAAUUUAUUAUUAAGUUUUUAAAUUAUAAUCUCUAAAAAUAAAAUCUAUUAACUAUUCAUAUAGUUGACGUUUAAACAAACAUACGAGUAAAAAUUGAAAAAAAAUUAUAUUUCACUUAUAAAAAUUAUCUUCAUUAGAUUUUUUUUUUUACAAUAAACUUUAAAAAAACUACAAAGAAUAAUUUUUUGUUUCAAAAAAUGGGGUUUGAUUGAGUUUACCGAAUUUUCGGUAAUCUUAAAAGUUUGGUCAAAAAGCUCAACUCCUUGAAUCUUUUAAUUUCUCAUUUGGUAUCAUAGCCAUUGCUUCCUCAAUCUCUAGUUCGAUCGCAGGUGUUAGCUUCAAUUCGAGGAAAUGGAUCUAACAUAUUACUGUGUCAAUACAAUACAUUUUGAUAUAAUUUAUUGAUUCCUCCAAUAACUUAUUGCAUUUUACCAUUCAAUGAUAUAUAUAUAUAUAUAUUUUUUGUUCAGAUUGUAUAAUUACAACUUAUUGAUAAUUUGUAUUAUAUUUCAAAUUCAUUCAUAUGGCAUGGUUAUAAUAAUCUUUAACACCCUGCUUUAUGGCUCCCACGACGAAUAUUUUUCGCGCACAUAAAUAACGUCUUAAAAAAAAAAAUGGAGAGACGAUUUUUGAGGUGCAAUCAUGUUACUCCAAAUUUUUAAAUUCACCACACACGUGGAUAAUGUUAUGCUUCUAGUUCUAGAACUUGUAUUUCAUUAUUCAUUAUGAGGUCUAGACUACGUUGGCCCAUUAAGAUCUAAAUGGGCUUGAAACGUUGCCACAGAAACAUAAACCUAGCUUUCAUCAGAAGAAAUGAUUAAUAUAAAAAUUAACGUCUAUAUAUUAUAGAGGAGUGCUAGAGACAGUCGCUAGCUUCUUCUUUUACCACGUGUCUCAUUAUUUUGAUAUUUGUGUAAUUUUAAUUUAAUAUUAAAAUAUUGAUAACUUUUAAUUUUAUUUUAAGGGAGUACCUAAGUUACGACCAAUGUAUCUUACGUUUUUUGUCUUUUUCUUCUUUGGUUAAUUUCUUUUGGGUCCUUUUAACUUUUAACUUUUAUAAUUGUGGAUGUAUUUGACUUCUUCCAUCCCUUCUACACCUAUUUCUCAUUCUUUCUAAGGUUUUGUUUAUUUCUUUAAAUAACAUUACAUGGUUAUCAAAUUCAUAUAAAUCUAUAAUUUCAGAGUAGAUUUCUGGUCCUAAAUUUAUUAUUCCUAUUCUUUCUUGUUCUAGUAAUUCUAUUUUCUGACUUAUUAGAUUUAUGUAUAUAUUUAAUAUGUUUUCCCAUCCUAAAAUCAUGUGAUCUAUACAAUCUGCUAAUUCAUGUAUUAUAUUAAAUGCAUGUUGAUUAUGAUUCAUAAUGCUUCCCUCUUAUACCAAUAUAUUAGAAAUUUUAUAAUUUCAUCUAUAAACUUCAUUUUCUUUUCUAUUAAUAUUUCUCCUCUUAUUGUGUCUAUAUGCCUUUCUCUAAGUUCUUCUGUUAAUUCGAGUUCUAUGUUUCUUAUAUUAUUCUUAUCAAUUUUUAAAGCCAUUAUGAGAUUUUUUAUUUCUUCUUUAUCAUAUACUUUUAAAGUAUAUAAGUUGUUAACUAAUGUUUGUAUCGGAUCCAUUAAUUAGUUUUAUAAGAAGUAAAAUAUCAUCAAGAUUUUAAUUAGUAAGAGUUAUGAUUCUGGUUAUGGCUCUGAUACCAUCUUGUACGUGUGUACCAAAAAAAAAAACAAAUAUUACAAAUAAUUAAACAAAUUAAACAAAUAAAAUAAUCAAAUAUUCUGAAUGGUUAAACAACUUCUAUUUUUCUUAUUCUAAGAUUAAAAUAACGGACAUAUAUAUAUAUAGUUGAUUAAACAUAUCACUUGUAAUUAAAAAGUACGUGGCGUUGACAAGAUGAAGAGAUCCUUGGCAAUUCAGCCAAGAUAUUUAAUUCUCCUUUGGACCAGUAGCCCGCACACCUUGGUUUCCAGCCUAUAUACUUUUUUCAACUUAUAAUUCAAUUUCUUCAUUAUCUGAAUUUUCUAUGUAAUUUACAUAUGAUGGUCCAGCCUCUCUAUUUUCAUUUUCUAUAUAAGCCAGAGCUAUAUCAAUUCCUUGUUCUAUUGUCAUCAUAAUUAUGUUAUGCUUUAGAUUUUUUGAUUCGAUAUAGUUUAUUAUUUUCCGCUUUAUUUCCUAUGGGAGUUCUAAUGAAAAUACCGCUAACAGAUCUACGGUUCUAACAAGAUCUCUUUUACUUAACAAAUAUGAAUCUUGUUUAUAUGAUCCUAAAUUAAAGUCUAUUAUCAUCAUAAAAUUGUUAUAUGUUAUUCUAGUAUUAGGAUCUAACAUACAUUCUUUAGACUCGCCUAAAUAAAAUCUAUGAUUCAUUUUACAGAAAAGAACAACCAAAAAUUUGUUUCAUUUUAUGCUCUUCCUCCAUAAAUCUCCUCAUCAUUGAUUAUCAACAAACUUCCACCAAAGAUAAGGUUUGAGAAUUAUUACCUAGCUUAUCCUUAUUUCCUUGCCUUCCAAUCCUUUUCCAGUGACCUGCAGCCUGGUUGUCCUUAUUCCCUCAACGGCCUUCUUGCUUCAACGGGAUCAGUGGACUCGAUCGGCCUUACUGUAUGGAUUUUGAUCGAUAGGCUUAGAAAUGUUGAAUAAGUUUAAGUUUCUCUUUCCUCUCUAUAGGGUUAUUUGUUUUUGAUCAGUGAUGCCUUGAUUUAGGAAUUAGAGCUGUAGAGUUGUUUAGUUUUUUAUUUUUCAGAGGAUUCAUAUGCUAAGGAAAGACACUGAAUUAUGGUGAAUGAUAAGCUCUUAGAGCUUAUUGCUUUUAUUUAUAUUCGAAGUUACUUUGAAUUUAUGAUUACAUUUUUGCCCUUCUAUUAUUGGGCUUUUACAUUAUUGUUACAUUUUUGCCCUUGUAUUAUUGGGCUUUUACAUCACUUCUUUACAUCUAUCAAGCAUCUUGUUGUAGCUUUAUCACGUCCCUUAUCUUGCCAAGCAUCUUUAUCUAAUUUUGUCUUGUUGUAGCUUUAUCAAAUGUCUUCCAUCACAGCUUUAUCUUAUCUUGUAGCUUUAUCACGUCCCUUAUCUUGCCAAGCAUCUUUAUCUUAUUUUGUCUUGUUGUAGCUUUAUCAGAUGCCUUCCAUCACAGCUUUAUCUUAUCUUGUUUUAUGUUGUCGGCCACAGCUUGUCUGUCAUUGCUUUAUGUCCAUGAGUUGGUAAGCCUGCUCCAUGGUUUUACUACUACUGGGAAAACAAAUAGUACUUAUUUCGUUGAUGAAGUCUAGUAACAAAUUUGAAGGUGUAUGACCAUCCUCAGAAGUUAUAAGGAUGUAAUUCUGAAAUUUAAUAAUGGAUCUGAAAUUUCUUUUAUACAAAUCUUUAGCUAUGCUCCAUAUGGCCUUUAUUCUUCUGGCUCUUCGUGUUUUGAUCGAAGAUUCAUUUAUAUGAGGAACAUUUGUAUAUUCUGUUCCUACUUCGACUUUAAAAUUGUUUGUAAGAUGACCUACAGAAAUCAUAUAGAAAGCCUGGUAUUCUACAUUCUGAUAGUAUUCUGGGCUUAUGGUGUAAAAUUUCAAGUAUAUGGGUCUUUUUUGGGCAAACCUUGAGACUUCUUUUAUCAAUAAAUCAUCAAGGCUGGCUAUUUCUCGAAGGUCUAUAUCGGGAUAUACUAAGUCUAAAUAGCCAUAUUUUGCUAUUUUCCCAACAAGGAGUGGGUCUACUCCUUUUGUAACAAUCAUCCUAGGGUACAUAUUUUUUCCAAGUGCUUUAAAAAUUGUAUUAUUAUGAGAACAAGUGGAAUAUACCCAUGUAGAGAAUUGUUUAUACUCUUCUUCUUUUGGAUUUAGGGGUUUCUCCUCUUCUUCUAUGUAAGGAUUGUUUAUUUGAAUAAACUUUUUUAGAGUGUCUGAUUUUGGUGACUCAACUUCUAUGGAUAUGGUUUUAUUUAGAACUGGGUCAGAGAUUGGUUUAUCUUCUCUGAAGGGUCCACUACUGCUUCCUAUAUUUGGGUUUAUUUCUAUUGGGCUCGUGUUUAUAGAGAGCGCCUUUGUUAAGUCCUCUAUGUAUGACUCUAACAAAUGUACUCCUUUCUCAUGAGCCUCAGAAGCCUAUUUUAUGUAUUGUAUUGCAUCAAUUAUGUCAGAUGCUUCAGCCUUGAGUCUUUGUAUCUUGGCUUUUAUUUUUCCGAUAAUUCUAUUUGCUUCGGGAUUCAUUCUCCAAAUUUUAUGUUCCUGCUUAAAAAGUCUGCAAGGAAAUUGUUAGUCCCUUUUAUAUGUACUAUCUUAAAAUUGUAAUAAGACAGAUAAACUUGCCAUCUAUGUAAUCUUCUAUAUUGAGGUUCAUUCGGUAAAAUUUUAUUAAUAAGAGAACUUACUUGAGAGUUAUCUGUUUCUACAAUAAAUUAUUUUUGAAGUAAAAAUAAUGAGAAUUUUUUAAUUCCUUUGUAUAUUGCAAGGAGUUCUUUUUCAUGUACUGGAUAAUUGAUUUGUGCCUGAUUAAAUGUUCCAUUUGUGUAUCGACAAAUUUCAUUUAUAUCAGUUUUCAGAAUUGCUCCCCAGUAUAAAUCUGAUGCAUCUGUUUGAAUUAGUAAUUUAUCUUUUUCAUUAGGUAAUCUUAAUGCUGGGAGGUUUUUACAUUCUUGUUUUAAAUUUUUUACAGUUUCUGUAUGUUCUUCACUCCAUCCUCUAGUAUUAUUUUUUCUUAGUAAUUUCUGGAGUAUAUUUCUUUUUUUUGCUAGAUCUUUUAUAAAUCCUUCUGCAUAAUUUAAACAACCUAAAAAUUUUUGUAUUUGUUGUUUAUUUUCUAAUUUAUCUGGAAAUUCGAUUAUUUUUCUUCCUAUAUGGCUCUGAAGUCUAAUACCUUAUUUGUCGAGUAUCAUUCCUACAAAUUCUAUUUUCUUAUGUUCUAUAACUGGUUUCUUACUAGAUAAUACUAUACCUUCCUUAAUACAUAUAUUAACAAAUUCCUUUAAAUGGUGCCUAUGUUCUUCUACUGUUUCUGAUGCUAUUAAUAUAUCAUCAACAUAUACUAUAAUAUAGUUAUAAUUUCUAAAUAUUUUAUCCAUUCUACUUUGGAAAAUUUGAGGGGCAUUUUUUAGUCCAAAGGACAUUACUAACCAUUCAUAAUGACCUUGUGGGGUGCUAAAAGCUGUAUAAAGAAUACUAUUUUCUUCCAUUUUUAUUUGCCAAAAUCCUGAUUUACAGUCGAAUUUUGAAUAAUAGGUCUUAUUUUUUACAAGAUUUAUUAAUACCUCUUUAUUAGGGAGAAAAUAUCCAUCAAAUUUUGUAUAUUUAUUUAGUUCUUUAUAAUUUAUUACCAUUCUUGCUUUUCCUCUAACUUGUUCUGCUCUUUUCCUGACCAUAAAUGCUGGGCUGUUAUGUGGGCUAUUGCUACUCCUAAUGAGUUUUAAAUUUAAUAGCUCUUUUAUUUGGAUUUUGAAUUCUUCUCUAUCUUCUUCUGUAUACAUCAUGGGUUUUAAUCUUAUGAUUCUAUUUUCAAUUAAUUUUAUUUUUGCUUUAGGAUGAUCUGGUUUCCAUAAUGCUAACGGAUUUUCUCUAUAAACUUGUUCAAGUUGUGACCUUAUUGUUUCUAGUUGUAUAUUGUAACUCUGACCUUUUUGUAUUAAAUAAUAUUUUUCAUAAAUGUACUUAUCACCACGCUGGGCUGGCUGAACUCUGUAGGGUCGAAAUUCACGAGGGAUUCGUAAAAUAUGAUUACAAGGGGUUUUUAAGGUGAUCAUGUAUGUAGUUUGUUGGUAAUAUUGGAAUUGUUGUAGAAAAUCAUUGCCUAAAAGUAUAUCACAAUCUAGAUUAUUAUAUUGAAAGAUUUGGUUAAUACGAAUUAUUUUACUGCCUAAUAAUAUUUCAAAGUUUAAUAUAGAUUGAUUUACCUGUUGUUUAUCGCCAGUGAUUCCUACAAUUUUUAAUUUUUCAUUUGAUUUCCAUUUAUUGGAUAAAAAAGAUUUCAUAAUAGUUAUUUCACUACCUGUGUCAAUUAAAGCACAAGUAUCUAUAUCUUUUUCUGUUAUAUUUAUUUGUAUAUAGCCAGACAUAGGAUAUUUUACAUAAGUUUGUUUUAACAUGUGUCACAAACUAUUCUUUGACCUUGUAUAAGGAAAGUUAUUUUAUUUGGUUCAAUUUUGUAAUAUUCUAAAUCACUUAAAAAACUAUUUCCUAGUACUAUAUGUUUUUCUGGAUCUGUAGUCAUAAAUGAAUCUAUAUAACAAGGUACUAUUAUUUUAAGUCCUUCUAUUAUUACAGGGACUUUGACUUCUUGUUUACAAAUAUGUUUAUUACCAUUGAAAUCAGUAUAUUCAUAAGGAAUUUCUUUUUCUUUUACUAAAAGUCCUUUAUUUUUAGUAUGGUUCAUAUAAUUAUGGCUGGUACCCGUAUCUAUUAAUAUAAGUAUUUUUGUUGUAUAAUCUAUUCCAUUAAAGUAUUGACCUAGUAUUUUUAUUACACUAUUAGUAGGUAUGGAUCUAACUAUUUGUUUAUUAGUGCUUAAUCUUCUAGAUGAACUUCCUCUUAUUAGAGUUCUUCCUGCAAAACUUAUAGGAAUUAUAGAGUUUUCAUUAUUAUUAUCUAAAAAUGGUUUUCUAUCAUCUAUUUUUAAUUCAUAAUUAAUAGGAAUUUUGUAAUCUUGAAUUACAGGUUCUAUAAAUGUUGCUAUAUCUUCACAAUCCUUAUUAAUUUCUAUAUAAGGUUUAUUUCCAUAUAUUUCUCCAUAAUUCGAAUUACAAAAACUAUACAAAGCUGAGUAGUGUAUUGUCAUUAUUCUAUUUCCUUCUUUCAUUAGGUUUUUCUUUAGUAAUUUAAAAUGUAAACUUAAUGUUUCAUCUAUAUUUUUAUCUUUUAUAUGUACACAGUAUCUAGAGUGGCAGGUAAAUAAUAAUUUAGUGUAACAUAAAUUCCCUUCUACUGUCCCUAAAUGUCCUAUGCCAGGGUCUGUAAAUCUUUGGUCAUGUAAUGAUAGAACUAUGGGGCUAUCUAUUCCUUCUUUGAAAAGAGAUUUUAUUAAGAUUUGGAUUUCUGCCAAAUAUACAUAUUGAAUUUUUUCUUUGAUUGAUUCACUUUUUAUUUUUCUUAAUGCUAAGUCUAUUGACCUUUUAUUAAGCAAACUAAAUCUAAUAUUUCCUUCAGCUUGUGUAAUUGUUACAGCUUUUUCUUGUUCAUAAUAUUCAUGUAGUAUAAUUCUUUUUCUUUUAAAUAGAUCUCUAAAUCUAUGCAGUAUUCCAUAUUCUGGUUUUUCCAUAUUUAAUUUUAAAAGUUUAUUAUAUUUUUCUUUAUUAAAAGUGGCUACAAGACUAUAUCCACUUUUAUUUUCCUCUUUUUCUAUCUCUUCUAUUUCUUCUAUUCUUUCAUUUUCCAUUUUUUCUUCUUUAUUCGGAUUCAUCUUCUGAUUUUUCUACCAUGUAAACUUCUUUUCCAUCAUAUUCUGAGAGAUCACUUAUUUCUUCUAAAUCACUUUCUAUAUUUUCAAAAUCUUCCUUUAAAAGCCUAACUUUCUUUUUUGUACAAUCUGUACUGAUGUGUCCCAUUUCUCCACAAUUCCAACAUUUACAUUUGGUUUUAUCUAAUAUUUUUCUUUGGUUUUUAUAUUUUCUUUUAUAAUAUUUUCUUC